RNAcentral lists this ribosomal RNA (468 nucleotides) under uncultured bacterium. Its description in RNAcentral is "partial 16S ribosomal RNA". It matches the Rfam family "Bacterial small subunit ribosomal RNA", at positions 28 to 507 of the family's 1533-position model. The record is from RNAcentral.
GACGAACGCUGGCGGCGUGCUUAACACAUGCAAGUUGAACGGAAAGGCCCUGCUUUUGUGGGGUGCUCGAGUUGCGAACGGGUGAGUAACACGUGAGUAACCUGCCCUUGACUUUGGGAUAACUUCAGGAAACUGGGUCUAAUACCGGAUAGGAGCUCCCGCUGCAUGGUGGGGGUUGGAAAGUUUCGGCGGUUGGGGAUGGACUCGCGGCUUAUCAGCUUGUUGGUGGGGUAGUGGCUUACCAAGGCCUUGACGGGUAGCCGGCCUGAGAGGGUGACCUGCCCCAUUGGGACUGGGAUGAGGCCCGGCCUCCUACGGGAGGGAGCAGUGGGGAAUAUUGCACAAUGGGCGGAAGCCUGAUGCAGCCACGCCGCGUGGGGGAUGACGGCCUUCGGGUUGUAAUCCGCUUUCGCCUGUGACGAAGCGUGAGUGACGGUAAUGGGUAAAGAAGCACCGGCUAACUACGUG